RNAcentral lists this non-coding RNA (28 nucleotides) under Rattus norvegicus (Norway rat). Lineage: Eukaryota; Metazoa; Chordata; Mammalia; Rodentia; Muridae. The record is from RNAcentral.
UGCUUCACAGUAAAGAUGGCAACCAGUC